GAUGAACGCUAGCGAUAGGCUUAACACAUGCAAGUCGAGGGGCAGCAUGGUCUUAGCUUGCUAAGACUGAUGGCGACCGGCGCACGGGUGCGUAACGCGUAUGCAACUUGCCUCACAGAGUGGGAUAACCCGUCGAAAGACGGACUAAUACCGCGUACACUCUAUUUUGGGCAUCCAAGGUAGAGGAAAUGAAAUUCGCUGUGAGAUAGGCAUGCGUCCCAUUAGCUAGUUGGUGAGGUAACGGCUCACCAAGGCGACGAUGGGUAGGGGAACUGAGAGGUUGAACCCCCACAAUGGUACUGAGACACGGACCAGACUCCUACGGGAGGCAGCAGUGAGGAAUAUUGGUCAAUGGGAGAGGGCCUGAACCAGCCAAGUCGCGUGAAGGAUGACUGUCUUAUGGAUUGUAAACUUCUUUUGUAGGGGAAUAAAGAGGGGCACGUGUGCCCCAGUGAAUGUACCCUACGAAUAAGCAUCGGCUAACUCCGUG
This 490-nucleotide ribosomal RNA is filed under the name uncultured bacterium. Its description in RNAcentral is "partial 16S ribosomal RNA". It matches the Rfam family "Bacterial small subunit ribosomal RNA", at positions 28 to 507 of the family's 1533-position model. The record is from RNAcentral.